This 466-nucleotide ribosomal RNA is filed under the name uncultured bacterium. RNAcentral's name for it is "partial 16S ribosomal RNA". It matches the Rfam family "Bacterial small subunit ribosomal RNA", at positions 38 to 507 of the family's 1533-position model. The record is from RNAcentral.
GGGGGGGGGGGGGGGCGGGCGUGAGACAGGCAAGGCGAACGGGGGGGCCCAGCGUGCUGGGUGGGUUAGGGGCGAACGGGCGGGUAACACGGGCGCGACCUGCCCUUAACUCUGGGGUAGGCCGGGGGAACUGGGUCUACUACCGGAGAGGAGCGUCCACCGCCGGGUGGGUGUUGGAAAGAUUUAUCGGUUUUGGGUGUACUCGCGCCCUAUCAGCUUGUUGGUGCGGUAAGGGCUCACCAAGUCGACGACGGGUAGCCGGCCUGAGAGGGGGACCGGCCACACUGGGACUGAGACACGGCCCAGACUCCUACGGGAGGCAGCAGUGGGGAACAUUGCACAAUGGGCGCAAGCCUGAUGCAGCGACGCCGCGUGAGGGAUGACGGCCUUCGGGGUGUAAACCUCUUUCAGUAGGGAAGAAGCGAAAGUGACGGUACCUGAAGAAGAAGCACCGGCUAACUACGUG